UACAGAGGGUGCAAACGUUGCUCGGAAUCAUUGGGCGUAAAGCGCACGUAGGCGGCUUUGUAAGUUAGAGGUGAAAGCCUGGAGCUCAACUCCAGAAUUGCCUUUAAGACUGCAUCGCUUGAAUCCAGGAGAGGUGAGUGGAAUUCCGAGUGUAGAGGUGAAAUUCGUAGAUAUUCGGAAGAACACCAGUGGCGAAGGCGGCUCACUGGACUGGUAUUGACGCUGAGGUACGAAAGCGUGGGGAGCAAACAGG
Molecule: ribosomal RNA, 253 nt
Filed under: uncultured bacterium
Lineage: Bacteria
Description: partial 16S ribosomal RNA
Rfam family: Bacterial small subunit ribosomal RNA
Source: RNAcentral